Long non-coding RNA from Cygnus olor (mute swan), 344 nucleotides. RefSeq lists it as uncharacterized. The transcript is spliced from 3 exons. NCBI's taxonomy places the organism in Eukaryota, Metazoa, Chordata, Aves, Anseriformes, Anatidae. The record is from RefSeq and is a predicted model, not a curated record.
UCAAUGUAUAUAAAUAUCUGAGGGGAGGGUGUCAAGAGGAUGGAGCCAGUCUCUUUUCCAUUGUGCCCAGUGAGCGGAUGAGAGGCAAUGGGCACAAACUGAAGCACAGAAAGUUCUGGUUGAAUAUGAGAGGGCAGUUCAUUACUGUGAGGGUGACAGAGCACUGGAACAGGUUACCCAGAGAGGUUGUGGAGUUUCCUUCUCUGGAGAUAUUCAAAACCCGCCUGGAUGCCAUCCUGCACAGUGUGCUCUAGGUGAUCCUGCCUGGCAGGGGGGUUGGACUAGAUGAUCUUCAGAGGUCCCUUCCAACCUCAGCCAUUCUGUGAAGUGAGAUUUGUGAUUUU